CCUACGGGUGGCUGCAGUGGGGAAUAUUGGACAAUGGGCGAAAGCCUGAUCCAGCCAUGCCGCGUGUGUGAAGAAGGCCUUCGGGUUGUAAAGCACUUUCAGUGGGGAAGAAAGCCUUGGGGCUAAUACCCUCGAGGAAGGACAUCACCCACAGAAGAAGCACCGGCUAACUCCGUGCCAGCAGCCGCGGUAAUACGGAGGGUGCGAGCGUUAAUCGGAAUUACUGGGCGUGAAGCGCGCGUAGGCGGUCUGAUAAGCCGGUUGUGAAAGCCCCGGGCUCAACCUGGGAACGGCAUCCGGAACUGUCAGGCUAGAGUGCAGGAGAGGAAGGUAGAAUUCCCGGUGUAGCGGUGAAAUGCGUAGAGAUCGGGAGGAAUACCAGUGGCGAAGGCGGCCUUCUGGACUGACACUGACGCUGAGGUGCGAAAGCGUGGGUAGCAAACAGGAUUAGAUACCCCAGUAGUC
Molecule: ribosomal RNA, 465 nt
Filed under: Vreelandella stevensii
Lineage: Bacteria; Pseudomonadati; Pseudomonadota; Gammaproteobacteria; Oceanospirillales; Halomonadaceae
Description: partial 16S ribosomal RNA
Rfam family: Bacterial small subunit ribosomal RNA
Source: RNAcentral